This 5072-nucleotide long non-coding RNA is filed under the name Vitis vinifera (wine grape). Its description in RNAcentral is "long non-coding RNA (VVIN_LNC004705)". Lineage: Eukaryota; Viridiplantae; Streptophyta; Magnoliopsida; Vitales; Vitaceae. The record is from RNAcentral.
AAUAACUUACGGUGUUAGGGUAAGCCUAAGCAAACUAGGUGCACUUAGAUGGAUUAGGUGCACCUAGACGAACUAGGUGUGCCUAAUGGGCCUGGGUAAACCUAAUGGGCCUAAAUAUGUCUAACCAAGCUAUCAUAAAAGUGUACCUAGUAUCCAGAGUAGCUCAAAGAAGUAAGUUAUAUCAGUAUCGAUGGACCACUAGGAACUACUUUGAGUGUUGAAAGAACACUUAAUUAGGGCAUGUGCUAAGGGGACAAACAGCCAGCAUGCAAGGAUGGGGGCAUGCCCGAGUAUGAACAUGUCAAAACAUCGAGUAAAGGUGCCCUCAAUGGUACCAACUCUCUGUAUCAUCUGUCUCUGAUCACGGGCCUGAGACAAGUGAUUACUACCCAAAAAGUGCUAUUUUACACCUUUAAUGCAUUAUGUUUUAAGCACUUUUGUGUAGUAGUUCUCCAUCUUUAGUCCAAUUGGCAUGUUAAGGACCUAGCAAUAUCUUCUAAUCAUAUUUGUGGCUAGUUUUAAUGUUUUGAUAGCUUUUUGGAUCGUUAAAACAAGUCAAGCAAAGGAGAAAACCAAAGAGAAGCAAAGUGAAGAAAAAUCAAAAUGUAGCAGCUGCAGUCUUCUUUCGCACUUUUGGAGCACUUUCCGAAGUCCAAUUUUUACAUGCUAUAUACCAUUUUAAAGCUCUUGAAGUCAAGAAUCCAACGCUUCAAACCGUGCCCGAUUUGGAGCUGAAAUGAGGAAGAUAUGGCCUUCGGAAGCCAACUGCUCCAGCAUAUGCGAAAAUUUCGCAUUCCACAAGAGCAAAUGCGAAUUUCGCAUUUAGUUCGCAUUUGGUUCGCAUAACCCAUGCGUGUUGCGAAUUUUGCUCUGCCCUUUGCCGACUCCACUUUAGAUAUUUUCCUUUGUAUUUUGUGAUGUAAUUUCCUUUAUUAUCCUUGUAAUUUAACCAAUCACAAGCUUUUCCUUUUGUAAAAGACUUUUUAAGGGGUGGAAAUCACCUCUUGGAAGAUAUGGAAUACGUAUUACGUUUUAACACUUAGAAUUUUACAGAGCUCUCUCGUUCUCUUUUCUCUUUACUAUUUUCUUUUUCUUGGAAGCCAAACAACCUCUGAGGAUGUUUGCCCGGAGGAUGAGAGGCUAAACUUUCGGUUUCUUGGAGUAAAGGAAGCUAGGUGAAAAGUCCAGAUGAAAUGGUGGAAAGCUCCCGUGCAUUAAAUUCAGGUAGUUGGAAUUCAUAAAUGGCUUCUAAAUCCAAAGUUUUGCUUUAAAUCCCUUAGAAUCAUUUUGAAUGACCAAUACAUGGUAAGCUUCAGGUCUUUAUGGAUGCUUAUUGCUAGAUUCAUAUUAGUCCAUUAGUUAUCCUGUACGAGUCAUUGGAAAGUGAUUCAAGGUGAAGACCCAUAGUGUCUUAAGCCAUUAAUGGACCUUGACUACCAUUUCUAUUGAUCUUUUAUGGAUUAAAUCUUCAUUGUCAAACCUAUACCGGUUCGAGAAAUAACUAUAGGUUAAAUCCCCAAUGCGAGGAGAAAAAUCCGGAAUUUUCCACUUUCUAUUCUGAACUUGAUCCUAGCAACCCUUAGCUCCGGGAGACUUUCUUUCUUCCAUUUUUAAUUAGUUUAUGUUAGUUUAGUUUCAAACACUUUCAAAACAAAUUUUAUUUUCUUUUAAACUUUAAGUUUUUGAUUAAGGAAAUCAUUAAAUACAAUUUCUAAUUUUGAAUACAUCACUGGUAGAAUGAAAACCCAUCCCAGAGUUCGACCCUAGAGCCACUAUACUAUAGUAGCUUUACUACAUUAGUAUGAGGUCAUAGGUUUUAUAAAUGUUUUUGAUUAAAUGACCCAUUUGGAGUUACACGCGAAUCAACAAGUAAACUAAAUGGAAAGACAAUAUGUGACCCUCGAUACCCCCCGAAGUAAUGGAGACCUGUCAACAUCUCAUACUCAAUCAGUAGACGAAGCCUGUCUGAAUGAACCGUAUCGAAGCAAACACGAGACCUCAUGUCCUCAGGGUGGUCUUACAACUUGGACCGUAAUGUAGGCCAGGGGUAAAAUGUGAAUGAAACGAUGGGAAACAAAGGCCCAAAUCUCCAAAUAGAUAGUGUCAAACCCCUAUGUGCGUAAUGUCAAAUAUCGCAGAACCAUGUGAGUGAGGUGACUCAACCAUGUAUCUAAAUAAAAAAACAUCAAACAAUAGGUGACAUGCACCAAAGAACUCAUCGUUCAUGAAGCGAGAUGACAAUCGGCGAGGGUAGCUGAAGAUGAAGAGGGAUGAGACAAAUAAUGAAUGAAGGUAUAGGGAAUGGAGAAACAAGCUGGGAAACAAGUGCAGCAAUGUGUGACAAUGACGAACAACUCAUCUUAAGAACGGCAACUCAAAGCAAGUCACUAUAUGAUGGGAAUGGUGAUGUAGAUAAUGAUCCAGGAAACCUAGUGCAAAGGAAACCCAAACCUCACUCCCAAUGUGUCACCCAGAUCCAGGGUGAGAAGGAUCGUUCAAUGCUCUCACCCGACUCUUAAAGGAAAAAGAAAUCCCUCAAACCCAAAACCACCUCUGAUGAUCCCAAGUAUAUCAACGAAUACCAAACAAGCACAAUUUUUUCUUUUUUCAUUUUUUAUUUUAUUUUUUCUUUUUUCAUUUUUUAUUUUAUUUUUUCCUUUUUCAAUUUUUUCUUUCUUUUUUUUUCAUUCAUUUUUUUUUCAAAGUAGGCCGAAUACCCCACUAGCAUAGUCCAACCAAGAGAACCUCAAAUCUCAAACCCAAAUGGUCUCCUCAAACUAAAACUCCUGGAUCAAAACCUAAGGGUGGAACGAAAGAUGUGACAAGCCUGACUUGUAGCCUUGAGACGAGAGCGCGUCACCAUCACACAAGGGAAAACAGAAGUGAAAUGAAUACAGUGUGAAGAUGCAAAACAGAGAAGAAAAGAAACAAGCAAUGAUGCAAAAAAGAACAAACGAAGAAUAACACAAUGCUCCCAAUGCUCACAGAUCUAAUCAAUAAAUACAAAGCGCACAGGGGUAGGCCCCCAACCCGGGUCAAAAAAAGGUAUGCAAGGCUGAAUGAAAGAAAAGGCCAUAAUAAACCGCGUGAGGCUCAAAGGGCUAGCAAUAGGGUAUAUCGAUGUAUGAGUGUGCAAUAGGGAAUAUGGCUACUCGAAGUGAUGGCCACCCAUCCUCUGACCAUGAUCUCACGCAUAAAACUUCUUCAGCUGAUCCACAUUGACUGGCUCUAUGAACUGAUUUCCGUCUAGGUCUGUCAACCAGGCAGCUCCCUCUUGAGUCAGAUCUCAGAUGACAUAAGGCCCGCUCCAACUCGGUCUAAACUUGCCUCCAAGGUCGCUGAUCAAUCCCCUAAGGACUUUCAAGACUAGGUCACCUCUUUGGAAUUUCCUAGGCCUAACCCUCUUUUUGAAUGCAUAGGUCAUCUUCCUCUGAUAGGCCUGAGCAUGAUCUGCUGCCCUUAAUCUCUUCUCAUCCAACAGGCUAAGCUGAUCGUAACGAGACUGGACCCACUCGGCCUCGGAUACAUGUUGCUCUAGUGCUACUCUUAAAGAUCUCAUCUCAAUCUCAACAGAUAACACUGCCUCCAUACCAUACACCAAAGAAUAUGGGGUAGCUCUAGUAGAGGUACGAAAAUAUGUACGAUAAGCCCACAAUGCGAAAGGGAGCUUUUCUGACCAAUCCCGAGAAGUCUCGACCAUCUUUCUCAAAAUCAUCUUGAUAUUCUUAUUUGCGGCCUCAACUGCCCCGUUAGUUUGUGGCCUGUACACAGACGAUUUGUGAUGCUGAAUGCCAUACUCCUAAAUCAACGUGUCCACCUCACCCCUGAAAUGCACCCCUCUAUCAAAAAUCAGCUCUUGAGGGACCCUGUAUCGGCAGAUAAUGUGCGAUAUGAUGAAUUUGGCCACCUUGGCCGCUAUCAAUCUAGCAUAAGAAGCGGCUUCCACCCACUUGGUGAAAUAGUCAAUGGCUACUAAGAUGUACUCAUGACCAUUGGAGGACUUGGGCGAGAUCUUCCCAAUAAUAUCAACACCUCAUACUGAAAAUGGCCAAGGGGAUGUGAGUGCAUGCAACUCAAAAGGUGGCACGUGUAUCAAGUCUCCAUGCAUCUGACACUCCUGACAUCUCUGUACAAACUGGCAACAAUCUGUCUCCAUGGUCAAUCAAAAGUAACCAACCCUCAUGAUCUUACACGCUAGCAUAUGACCUCCCAUGUGUGGGCCACAGACCCCUGCAUGAACCUCUCUCAUCACUCGAUCUGCAGAUAUACGAUCUAGACAUAAUAAUAAUAGGCCAUCAGGUGAUCUCCUAUACAGUGCAUCCCCACAAAUAACAAAUCUGAUGGCCAACUGUCUCAAUGCUCUCCUAUCCUUGGUCGAGGUUGACUCUGGGUAAGUGUCGCAUGACAGAAACUGAUAAAUAUCGUGAUACCAUGGCAACUCAAUCUGAUCCUCUAUCUCUCCAAUCAGACAAUAGUAAGCUGGUGCAGACCUAGUUUUAAUCAGCAAUGGCCUAAUAGUCACCCCCGCGGGGAUCACAAUCAUAGAAGCCAAGGUGGCUAAUGCAUCGGCAAACUGAUUCUCCGCCCUGGGCAGAUGUAUAUACCUUAACACAUCAAAUCCAUCACUCAACAGGUCCAAGUAAGCAUGGUAGGGUUUUAGCUUCUCAUCCCGAGUCCUCCAGAUACCCUGAGUUUGCUGUAUAACCAAAUUGAAAUCCCCGUGGAUCUCCAACUAUCUAAUGCCAAGAUCAAGUGUAGUCUCCAAACCUGUAAUGCAAGCCUCAUACUCCACAAUAUUAUUCGUCAACCGGUGAUGAUCGGAAAAUGGUAACCGGACUGAUCUGGGGAUAUGAUCACCCUGUGGUGAUAUCAACAAGAUACCAAUGCCAAACCCCGACUGAUUGGCGGCGCCAUCAAAGUACAAUCGCCAUCCCAUAAUGAUUACUACCCAAAAAGUGCUAUUUUACACCUUUAAUGCAUUAUGUUUUAAGCACUUUUGUGUAGUAGUUCUCCAUCUUUAGUCCAAUUGGCAUGUUAAGGACCUAGCAAUAUCUUCUAAUCAUAUUUGUGGC